Molecule: non-coding RNA, 110 nt
Organism: Acanthosepion pharaonis
Lineage: Eukaryota; Metazoa; Mollusca; Cephalopoda; Sepiida; Sepiidae
Source: the annotation of a GenBank genome assembly
UUGCGGCCAUAUCAUGUUGAAACACCUGUUCCCGUACGAUCACUGGAGUUUAGCGACAUCGAGCCUGGUUAGUACCUAGACGGGUGACAGCUCGGGAAUACCAGGUGCUC